Molecule: long non-coding RNA, 716 nt
Organism: Bombus pyrosoma
Lineage: Eukaryota; Metazoa; Arthropoda; Insecta; Hymenoptera; Apidae
Exons: 3
Source: RefSeq, a predicted model, not a curated record
UAGAAUUCUAUACUUUUGUAAAUGAUCGGAACGAUGAUUUCAUGCAUAACCUAUUAUAUUUCUAACAUUUUUCCAUGCGUCUCCGCCUGUUUCCGCCUGGUCAAAUUAAAAAUCGCUUUACAAUAAUGUAGAUAUGUGAAUGGGACUUUAUCCGAAUCUUUUCAUCAACUGCGAUAGUUCCUAUUUUGGAUGAACUGAGGAAAUUGCAGAGGGCGUAAGAGACACUGGUUUUUUGGCAGAGAGCAAAUCCUCCCUGUUCUUAGUCCAUGCUGUACACUCGUCUGUUGUCAAUGAUAGUGACAAAAUGAUGAAUGCUGUGAGGACGAAGAAUAGUAUAGAAGAAUGAAGUAUACCAAUCAACCAGUAGUAGUGCUAUAUACUAAAGUCAAUAUGGCCGCGAUCAAAUUGCUUCACGCGGCUUCACGGAAUCUCGUAUUUAUAGAAUAUAUGCCAGUGGCUCAUGCUGAUAUCCGAAUCCAGUUUCGGGAUUCCGAACGAUACGAGUAUGUCGAUAGCCUAUCUGAACUUCUUUCGGCCCGUUUCGAAUAAGCCUUAUAAAGAAUGAAAUAUGGAGUGUGCAUCGGAGUAGGAGUGAAUGCAUGCUUAAAUUAACAUUCAAAUUUUCAAGUUCAAUCAUUAAAAAUUUAGACAUAUUUAAAUAUGAUUACAUAAUAUAUUAGUUAAUAAAAAGAAAUUUUAUUGAGUCAAUAAAAAAA